RNAcentral lists this non-coding RNA (21 nucleotides) under Caenorhabditis elegans. The record is from RNAcentral. Lineage: Eukaryota; Metazoa; Nematoda; Chromadorea; Rhabditida; Rhabditidae.
UUUGUGAACUGCAAUUGAUGU